RNAcentral lists this ribosomal RNA (459 nucleotides) under uncultured bacterium. RNAcentral describes it as "partial 16S ribosomal RNA". It matches the Rfam family "Bacterial small subunit ribosomal RNA", at positions 339 to 795 of the family's 1533-position model. The record is from RNAcentral.
CUACGGGGGGCUCCAGUAAGGAAUAUUGGGCAAUGGACGCAAGUCUGACCCAGCCAUGCCGCGUGCAGGAUGACAGCCCUACGGGUUGUAAACUGCUUUUAUAUGGGAAAAAUUCUUCCGACGUGUCGGAAGUCGAUGGUACCAUAUGAAUAAGCACCGGCUAACUCCGUGCCAGCAGCCGCGGUAAUACGGAGGGUGCAAGCGUUAUCCGGAUUUAUUGGGUUUAAAGGGUGCGCAGGCGGAAUGAUAAGUCAGUGGUGAAAUCCUACGGCUCAACUGUAGAACUGCCAUUGAUACUGUUGUUCUUGAGUACAGUUGUAGUGGGCGGAAUAUGUCAUGUAGCGGUGAAAUGCAUAGAUAUGACAUAGAACACCGAUCGCGAAGGCAGCUCACUAAGCUGAAACUGACGCUGAGGCACGAAAGCGUGGGGAGCAAACAGGAUUAGAUACCCUCGUAGUC